AUACGGAGGGUGCGAGCGUUAUUCGGAAUCACUGGGCGUAAAGGACGCGUAGGCGGGUUGGCAAGUCAGAUGUGAAAUCCUACAGCUUAACUGUAGAACUGCAUUUGAAACUGCUAACCUAGAGUAUGGGAGGGGGAGAUGGAAUUAGUGGUGUAGGGGUAAAAUCCGUAGAUAUCACUAGGAAUACCGAAAGCGAAGGCGAUCUCCUGGAACAUAACUGACGCUAAGGCGUGAAAGCGUGGGGAGCAAACAGGAUUAGAAACCCCGGUAGUCC
This 274-nucleotide ribosomal RNA is filed under the name uncultured bacterium. RNAcentral's name for it is "partial 16S ribosomal RNA". It matches the Rfam family "Bacterial small subunit ribosomal RNA", at positions 523 to 796 of the family's 1533-position model. The record is from RNAcentral.